GGGAGUGGAUAGGUGCUGGUGUGCCUAACGGUCUUCAAAACCGAUUUGGGGAGUUAGUAGCUUCCCGGGUGAGUUCGAUUCUCACGCACUCCCGCCA
Molecule: transfer RNA, 97 nt
Filed under: Clostridiales bacterium
Lineage: Bacteria; Bacillati; Bacillota; Clostridia; Eubacteriales
Description: tRNA-Sec
Rfam family: Selenocysteine transfer RNA
Source: RNAcentral